AAUAGAUACCCUGGUAGUCCACGCCGUAAACGAUGAGUGCUAAGUGUUAGAGGGUUUCCGCCCUUUAGUGCUGCAGCUAACGCAUUAAGCACUCCGCCUGGGGAGUACGGCCGCAAGGCUGAAACUCAAAGGAAUUGACGGGGGCCCGCACAAGCGGUGGAGCAUGUGGUUUAAUUCGAAGCAACGCGAAGAACCUUACCAGGUCUUGACAUCCUCUGCCAACCCUAGAGAUAGGGCGUUCCCCUUUGGGGGACAGAGUGACAGGUGGUGCAUGGUUGUCGUCAGCUCGUGUCGUGAGAUGUUGGGUUAAGUCCCGCAACGAGCGCAACCCUUGAUCUUAGUUGCCAGCAUUCAGUUGGGCACUCUAAGGUGACUGCCGGUGACAAACCGGAGGAAGGUGGGGAUGACGUCAAAUCAUCAUGCCCCUUAUGACCUGGGCUACACACGUGCUACAAUGGAUGGUACAAAGAGCUGCGAACCCGCGAGGGUAAGCGAAUCUCAUAAAGCCAUUCUCAGUUCGGAUUGU
Molecule: ribosomal RNA, 526 nt
Filed under: uncultured bacterium
Lineage: Bacteria
Description: bacterial SSU rRNA
Rfam family: Bacterial small subunit ribosomal RNA
Source: RNAcentral